GUAGGUGAACCUGCGGAAGGAUCAUUUCCAAAAAACAAAAAAAAACAAUAUUCACCCACUGUGUGCAACGUUUUGGGUUUUUUUAAGAACAUUUACUCUCCUACACCUCCCCUUUGUUAAAUUUGAGGAGUCUAUAUCAUUUUGAUAUUUCUCCAUGAACGAAGCAAAAGGGAUUCAAGGGGUAAGAGAGGCCUUGAUGAACUACCUUGUAAACUAAGGUUGAUCUUAAUACUUUUUUCGAACCAAUGUGACUGCAAAGUCAUAAGAAAAAUGAUACGACAACUUUUAACGGUGGAUCUCUUGGCUCGU
RNAcentral lists this unclassified non-coding RNA (309 nucleotides) under rhizosphere metagenome. RNAcentral describes it as "partial ribosomal RNA internal transcribed spacer region". The record is from RNAcentral.